UCAAGAAGAAGAUACUAAAGAAGAAGCAUUUUCUUUCUAUCGAGAAUAGAACUCUAUAAAGAUGGAGGCCUAAAGAAGAAGAGGGGUGUUCUCAUUCUUACUUCUAGAGGCUUUGUGUUAUUCCUUCUACAAUAUUUUUUGAAUUGUCUUAUUCAGUGUAAGUGGAAGAUUUUUAUUUAUACAAGUAACAAAAUCUCAUACGGGUCCAUAAAUUUAGUAAAGUUCACAUAUGAACAAUUUGACUCGUCUUAUAUAAGACUAACUUUAUUAAAAUAAACGAC
RNAcentral lists this long non-coding RNA (281 nucleotides) under Carica papaya (papaya). Its description in RNAcentral is "long non-coding RNA (CPAP_LNC003594)". The record is from RNAcentral. Lineage: Eukaryota; Viridiplantae; Streptophyta; Magnoliopsida; Brassicales; Caricaceae.